AGCGAACGCUGGCGGCAGGCCUAACACAUGCAAGUCGAACGAACUCUUCGGAGUUAGUGGCGGUCGGGUGCGUAACACGUGGGAACGUGCCUUUAGGUUCGGAAUAACUCAGGGAAACUUGUGCUAAUACCGAAUGUGCCCUUCGGGGGAAAGAUUUAUCGCCUUUAGAGCGGCCCGCGUCUGAUUAGCUAGUUGGUGAGGUAAAGGCUCACCAAGGCGACGAUCAGUAGCUGGUCUGAGAGGAUGAUCAGCCACAUUGGGACUGAGACACGGCCCAAACUCCUACGGGAGGCAGCAGUGGGGAAUCUUGCGCAAUGGGCGAAAGCCUGACGCAGCCAUGCCGCGUGAAUGAUGAAGGUCUUAGGAUUGUAAAAUUCUUUCACCGGGGACGAUAAUGACGGUACCCGGAGAAGAAGCCCCGGCUAACUUCGUG
This 433-nucleotide ribosomal RNA is filed under the name uncultured bacterium. RNAcentral's name for it is "partial 16S ribosomal RNA". It matches the Rfam family "Bacterial small subunit ribosomal RNA", at positions 29 to 507 of the family's 1533-position model. The record is from RNAcentral.